RNA transcript from Triticum dicoccoides, 1883 nucleotides. It is a transcript of the gene named DNA mismatch repair protein MLH1-like, with no coding region annotated. The record is from RefSeq and is a predicted model, not a curated record. The transcript is spliced from 12 exons. NCBI's taxonomy places the organism in Eukaryota, Viridiplantae, Streptophyta, Magnoliopsida, Poales, Poaceae.
CCCCAUCCCCACAACCCUUGGUGCGCCAAAAUCCUUCAAAUGUCCACGCCCUUGGUGUUAAUCGUGAUUGCUAUUGAUUGCGAGCUGUUAAUCCUUAGUGCGUACAGGGUCAUGUGGAGGCGAAUGAUUGGGAAUUUUGGUCUUGGUGAUUUUCUACACUGGAUCUGUCUGAUUGUUCCGACUCAGGCAGUAAAAUACUGCAUAGGGGCUGCUAUGCCAUGGGCAAAUGAGGGCACACCUAUAUUAACAGGCCAUUUGAGAUUGUUAGUGCUGAUUGCCUUUAGGUAUCAUGUAGUUGUCUGCAUAUGAGGACCUACAAACAAUAAAGUCCAUGGGGUUCAGAAGGGAGGCUUUGGCCAGUUUGACUUAUGUUGGCCAUGUUACCGUGACAACAAUAACAGAAGGCCAAUUGCAUGGCUACAGAGUUUCUUAUAGGGAUGGAGUAAUGGAGAAUGACCCGAAGCCCUGUUCUGCGGUUAAAGGAACUCAAGUCAUGGUUGAAAAUUUAUUUUACAAUAUGGUAGGAAAACACUGCAGAACUCCAGCGAUGACUAUCCAAAGAUAGUGGACUUCAUCAGUCGGUUUACGGUCCAUCACAUCAAUGUGAACUUCUCUUGCAGAAAGCAUGGAGUCAAUAGAGCAGAUGUUCACAGUGGGAGCAUGUCUUCAAGGCUAGAUGCUAUUAGGAAUGUCUAUGGGGCUUCGGUUGUUCGCGAUCUGGUGGCACUAACCUCCAGCGCUUACUCAAGCUAACACACUAAAGGAUAUGGGUACCGAGGUCAGCACCCCUACUGGAGAAAAAUCUCAAAAGGUUCCUGUGAGCCAAAUGGUCAGAACUGAUCCACGCGAUCCAUCUGGAAGGUUGCACACCUAUUGGCAAGGUCAAUCUUCAAAUCUAGAAAAGAAAUCUGACCUUGUUUCAGUAAGAAAUGUUGUAAGAUCAAGGAGAAAUCCAAAAGAUGCUGGUGAUUUGUCCAGUCGCCAUGAGCUUCUUACAGAAAUAGAUCCUAACUUACAUCCCGGCCUUUUUGAUAUUUUUAAGAAUUGCACACUUAUGUUGGAGUUGCCAAUGAAGUUUUAGCUUUGAUACAGCACAAUGCCCUCUUAUACCUUGUCAACGUGGUGAACACUGAGAUACUGAAAGAAAAUGCUGAGAUGAUUAAUGAGUACUUCUCUAUUCACAUCGAUCAAGAUGGCAACCUGGCCAGACUUCCUGUUGUACUUGAUCAGUACACCCCUGAUAUGGAUCGCCUUCCAGAGUUCAUGUUGACUCUAGUAAAUGAUAUUUCCUGGGACGUUGAGAAAGAGUGCUUCAGAACGGCAGCAGCUGCUAUUGGAAACUUCUAUGCACUUCAUCCUCCCAUCGUUCCAAAUCCAUCUGGCAAAGGCAUUCAGUUACAAAAGAAAAAUAAAGAUUGCAUGGAAACUGCUGAACAGGCUGUUAGUACAGAUGAAGACGACAUUGAUCAAGAGCUGCUUGCGGAAGCAGAAGCCACAUGGGCUCAACGUGAGUGGACCAUCCAGCACGUCUUGUUUCCUUCCAUUCGGCUUUUCCUCAAGCCUCCGAAGUCGAUCGCGGCAGAUGGGACGUUUGUUCAGGUUGCUUCUCUAGACAAACUCUACAAGAUCUUGGAGAGAUGCUAGUUGACACAGGCCGGCCAUCACAAGAUAGAGAAGGAAGGGAGUCUAGCGCCUUGCUGGUUCCUUCUGGGACAUGUGUGUGUAUAAUGGUUUCACCGUCUACCGUAUUCUCUAGGUAGUGUUGUAAUAUUUUUUUUUUUUUUGGAAGAAAGAGCAAAACUGAGCUCCAGUUCUGGAUUGAAAUACCAAAUAAACGCCAGAAUAUUUUGGCUCUGCUAUGCUUAUGACCUGUUAGAUAGACU